This 99-nucleotide non-coding RNA is filed under the name unclassified sequences. Its description in RNAcentral is "pemK RNA". It matches the Rfam family "pemK RNA". The record is from RNAcentral.
AUAAUGAUACUUUGUCCAGUCAAAAGUCGAGCGUGAUAAAACCGUCGCAACCAAAGAGGGCAGCUCGGAGAGAUCCUCGGAGUGGUGAGAUUCCAAUGA